This 72-nucleotide transfer RNA is filed under the name Skermania pinensis. RNAcentral's name for it is "Skermania piniformis tRNA-Val(tac)". It matches the Rfam family "tRNA". From Rfam's summary of the family: Transfer RNA (tRNA) molecules are approximately 80 nucleotides in length. Their secondary structure includes four short double-helical elements and three loops (D, anti-codon, and T loops). The record is from RNAcentral. Lineage: Bacteria; Bacillati; Actinomycetota; Actinomycetes; Mycobacteriales; Gordoniaceae.
GCCCCUGUAGCUCAGAGGCAGAGCAACCCGCUUACACCGGGUAGGUCGCAGGUUCAAUUCCUGCCGGGGGCA